GGGAGUACGGCCGCAAGGUUAAAACUCAAAUGAAUUGACGGGGGCCCGCACAAGCGGUGGAGCAUGUGGUUUAAUUCGAUGCAACGCGAAGAACCUUACCUGGUCUUGACAUCCACGGAAGUUUUCAGAGAUGAGAAUGUGCCUUCGGGAACCGUGAGACAGGUGCUGCAUGGCUGUCGUCAGCUCGUGUUGUGAAAUGUUGGGUUAAGUCCCGCAACGAGCGCAACCCUUAUCCUUUGUUGCCAGCGGUCCGGCCGGGAACUCAAAGGAGACUGCCAGUGAUAAACUGGAGGAAGGUGGGGAUGACGUCAAGUCAUCAUGGCCCUUACGACCAGGGCUACACACGUGCUACAAUGGCGCAUACAAAGAGAAGCGACCUCGCGAGAGCAAGCGGACCUCAUAAAGUGCGUCGUAGUCCGGAUUGGAGUCUGCAACUCGACUCCAUGAAGUCGGAAUCGCUAGUAAUCGUGGAUCAGAAUGCCACGGUGAAUACGUUCCCGGGCCUUGUACACACCGCCCGUCACACCAUGGGAGUGGGUUGCAAAAGAAGUAGGUAGCUUAACCUUCGGGAGGGCGCUUACCACUUUGUGAUUCAUGACUGGGGUGAAGUCGUAACAAGGUAACCGUAGGGGAACCUGCGGUUGGAUCAC
RNAcentral lists this ribosomal RNA (650 nucleotides) under Escherichia coli. RNAcentral's name for it is "bacterial SSU rRNA". It matches the Rfam family "Bacterial small subunit ribosomal RNA", at positions 876 to 1526 of the family's 1533-position model. Lineage: Bacteria; Pseudomonadati; Pseudomonadota; Gammaproteobacteria; Enterobacterales; Enterobacteriaceae. The record is from RNAcentral. RNAcentral also lists the same sequence under 1 other name.